RNAcentral lists this ribosomal RNA (876 nucleotides) under uncultured archaeon. Its description in RNAcentral is "bacterial SSU rRNA". It matches the Rfam family "Archaeal small subunit ribosomal RNA", at positions 21 to 903 of the family's 1478-position model. The record is from RNAcentral.
CCUGACUGCUAUCGGAUUGAUACUAAGCCAUGCGAGUCUUUGCAGUAAUGCAAGGCAUACGGCUCAGUAACACGUAGUCAACUUACCCUAUGGACGAGGAUAAUCUCGGGAAACUGAGCAUAAUACUCGAUAGAUCAUAAUGCCUGGAAUGGUUUAUGGUUGAAAUGAUUCGUCGCCAUAGGAUGGGACUGCGGCCUAUCAGCUUGUUGGUGAGGUAAUGGCCCACCAAGGCGAUUACAGGUACGGGCUCUGAGAGGAGAAGCCCGGAGAUGGGUACUGAGACAAGGACCCAGGCCCUAUGGGGCGCAGCAGGCGAGAAAACUUUGCAAUGUGCGAAAGCACGACAAGGUUAAUCCGAGUGAUUUCUGCUAAAGAAAUCUUUUGCAAGUCAUAAAACCACUAGUGAAUAAGGGGUGGGCAAGUUCUGGUGUCAGCCGCCGCGGUAAAACCAGCACCUCAAGUGGUCAGGAGGAUUAUUGGGCCUAAAGCAUCCGUAGCCGGCUCUGUAAGUUUUCGGUUAAAUCCAUGUGCUCAACGCAUGGGCUGCCGAAAAUACUGCAUAGCUAGGGAGUGGGAGAGGUAGACGGUACUCGGUAGGAAGGGGUAAAAUCCUUUGAUCUAUCGAUGACCACCUGUGGCGAAGGCGGUCUACCAGAACACGUUCGACGGUGAGGGAUGAAAGCUGGGGGAGCAAACCGGAUUAGAUACCCGGGUAGUCCCAGCUGUAAACGAUGCAGACUCGAUGAUGCAUUGGCAUAUAGCCAGUGCAGUGUCGCAGGGAAGCCGUUAAGUCUGCCGCCUGGGAAGUACGUACGCAAGUAUGAAACUUAAAGGAAUUGGCGGGGGAGCACCACCAAGGGGUGAAGCCUGCGGUUC